CAUCGCGAGGUGGAAUCUGAAGGAAGAGGGAGGCAAACCGUCGGUCCGAGGGUCACGAACCACAAUUGAGGCCGGUCACAUGGAUAAGCGUACAAACCAACGUGAAGUCCGAAUAGUUACUUGAUGUGGCAGGUAAAUGAGGCGGAGAAUA
This 151-nucleotide non-coding RNA is filed under the name uncultured Bulleidia sp. Lineage: Bacteria; Bacillati; Bacillota; Erysipelotrichia; Erysipelotrichales; Erysipelotrichaceae. The record is from RNAcentral.